AAUUAGCAGAGGUCUCCCAGGAGGACUUUCCUUCCUUGAGUGCUCAUUGCAAAGCACUUCUGCUGCAGUCCUGUGGCAAUGGUCACUGUUGGAGUAGGAGGAAUUGCCUAGGGAUUCCAGCUACAGCAACGGGGGCUGAAUUUCUCUAUUGAAGUCAACACAAAGGAAGGCAAAAACUGUUGUUUCUUGGGAAAUUGGCCCACUCUGGUGGAAGAUGCUAAUAUGGACACUAUGGGUGGAAACAUCUGGACAAAGAUGCUCCACGCCAUACAUCCAGCCUGCCAGUGUCUGCUCAUUGCCCUUUUUCUCUUCUUAAAAAGUGAAAUAUUUUGGGAGAAUAGCUCCUUUUUGCUGCAAGUUUAUACAGCAUAUCGUCCAAAGUGGCUCUGGGCCACUAUCAGACACAGCUCCAAACAGUACCUCUAAAUGAACACACUUUCUCCUGCUCCAUUACCAACUUCUGAGGCUUCCCUGGUGAGGAUCCCAGCUCAGCUGGGCUCCAUUUCCACGGGGAGAGGCACAGGAGAGACAGACGUGCUCCUUUAAGGCAGGGCUCCACACACCUCGGGCAGAGCAUCACCGUAACGUGAUGCGGCAGUUGCUAAGGUAACAGCACCAACAUAUUUUUUCAUGAAUAGCAAAGCAAAUUGUCAUGGAAGAGUAAAACCCACACGCGUUGCCAGGAUAUAUGUUCUGUUGCCCCGGGGUUACAAGUAUUUACAGGCUGUUUCUUUUUUUUCCCAUCUUGAAAAAUGCUCCUACGUGUCCCCAUGUACUACCGAUGUCCAGGUUGCAGCUGCCUUUGUUCACUCCCAGCACAGACACCAAACAGAGGUGGUGUGUUUGGCCAAAGCACGGCAGGGAACUUCAUUUGUGUCUUCCAAGAUGCCCCCACGUGUGGUUCUUUGCUUCACUCCUUGGCUGACCAUGUGUUUAUGCCUCCUAAUUGUAUUGGGCUGCUGAUUCGGGGUCAGCAAGGCUGCGUCCCAUGUGUUUUACUUGCUGUGUUAGCAUUAGGGGUUCAAAAUGCACCUGAAGGACUGAGGAAAUAGAAAAGGAAGAUGCAUGUAUGGAUCUGAAAAGAUGGCUUGGUUUUUUUCUAACUUUCAGAAAACAACUCUCAUCCUCUGCAGCCCUUCACCUCCCAGCUCAGAAGCAGGUGGAGGAGCAGACUCUGCCAGACUACAGUCCACCCCCUAAUGCUUUGGGGAGACUAAGCAAGAACAGGUCAGCAGCCAGCAGUGCGCAUCAGGAAUGGUGAGAACCAGUCUCUUGCAUUAGAAACCAGAAAUAAAACAGCAGCUGAAGAGCCGUGGAGGUGCAGAAGGUGAAUAGGAAGGGAGCUGAAACAAAGCACAGUGUGUGGCUGCAGGACCUUCCUCCAGCACCAGCCAUGGGGAACUUUCUCAUUAAAACAAUGUGGAUAGUGUUCCUCAGCUCUCUGCCACUUGUUUUGGCGAAGAGAUGAGACCGUUCCCAUUGCUGCAGCAGUCUGGGAUGACCCCAAGGCACAACCAGCUCUCAGCUGCACUGCCCCAGGCAGUAUGGGAUUGGUUACAGCUCUCUCCCUGUAAUUUGCCUUGAGUUUUCUAUUCCUAGUGCAAACAGCACACACACGUUUUACCUUUGUGUCCUGUGAAUUCCUGGAGCCUUUACAGGUGUAUCCAACAUUUCCAGGUGGUAGCACAGCUAGUUCCACUGGAGACAUUGCCUUUCCCUUUGUUUUUGGUUUGUUGUAUUUUUAACUCAUCAGAUGUUUCUGUCCAAGCCUCACAGUUGGAAAUAUUGUUGCACUGCUUUUAAAGAGCAGAACAAUGCCUUUUCUGCUCUGUUCAUUUUUGAGAUAAUUCAAGGACUUGAGCAAGAAGGAUAAAACCUCAGCCAGGCCACGCACUGUGCAAACAUCCCUUCC
Molecule: long non-coding RNA, 1912 nt
Organism: Gallus gallus (chicken)
Lineage: Eukaryota; Metazoa; Chordata; Aves; Galliformes; Phasianidae
Source: Ensembl